This is a long non-coding RNA of Felis catus (domestic cat), 2040 nucleotides long. RefSeq lists it as uncharacterized. NCBI's taxonomy places the organism in Eukaryota, Metazoa, Chordata, Mammalia, Carnivora, Felidae. The transcript has 3 exons. The record is from RefSeq and is a predicted model, not a curated record.
UCGGGAUCCGGCCCCGGGGGCCGGCCUUGGGGGUCCUGGCCCGAUCCCAGAGGACUCUUCAUGUCGUGCACCUGCAGAACGUCGGGGGCGCUGCCACUUAGGCCGCUGAGAGCCUGCUGGGCGAUAUCCUGUGAUGACAGGGGACUAAGGAGUAUAUGAAGGUGUGCUUCAAAGGUCUGACCUUCUAAUUUUCAAUGGGGAAUCCUAUUUUAAGACUCCCAGGAAGAGCCUGUGCUGAUUCCUUCAGAAGGCAUACACUAUGUCUUAUUUACUUCUGCUCAGUAAAUGUUGAAGAAGUCAGGCAGUGAAGGAAUGGACCAAAGAAGGAGUCAAGCAAAGGGGCAUGCAGAAUCUUCUGUAUUUUCUAGAUCAUCUAAUCUGAACAUUGACAUUUGAGCAGGCCAUGAGGAUCUCCUAACAAGACUGCAACUUAAUUAUCAUUGUAUUAUUCGCUUCUUGUGCUAUUUCUGUUGCAUACAAAGUAAAAUAAGUUAUGUUGAGUUGAUUGAAACUAAAAUAAAUAUUGAAAUCUGGGAGCAUAAAGAAUUGUGAGAUUUGAUUGCCUCUUAAAAACAAUACUGAAAGCAGCCUGGAAAGAGCUAAUUUACAUAAUCUGCCAUAGAAAUUCCUGAAAACAGUCACCUAAAUUAUUUUGUUUCAUAUUUGGUGAUGCUUGACUUAAGGGUCAGCCUAGUUGUAGCAGAAAGAACAACUGUCUUAAAAUCCGACAAACCUGGGCUGAAGUCCUAUCUUGCUCCUUGACUGUGUAUCUGAUCUUGAGCAAAUCACUUAGCCCCUCUGAACCUUUCUUCCUCUACAGCAUGUCGGUAUUAUAUUGCGUAUCUUCACAGGUGCCAGGAUGAUUAAGUUAGAUUGUUAGAAAUACUUCAAGUGCCUUCCUACCCUUAAAUACUGAGAAAAUAACUAGAAAACGUUAUCAAGAGGUGACUCAUUAAAAUAUAGACCAGUAAUCAGAUAAACUUCAAGACUUUGCUGUGAGAAUGCUGUUGAUAAUAAAGGAGAACAAUAAUCUCUUGUAUGGUGUCUUGUGUUGGUGGUGAUCUAGUUCAGUGCUGUAUUUCCUGACCUAGAUUUAGCAGUGAAUUUGUAAAUGAUAUAACUAACUUCUUUACCAUAGCCCCUAGGAGCAAGAGACAUAGGAGAUAAAUUAAAAGAAGAGCUGGUUGUAACUGUCAUAACCCAAGGAGAGGGAAAAAAGGCUUGGGUAUGGAGUGGUAAAUAUUAUCUUGUCGUUUCAUGGACCCACAGUUGGGAAACACUGUUCUAGUAGGAAUCUAAAUAUUUGACUUCCAUGGUGGUUGUAUUAUUUAUUAUAAGACUUAGUGGAACCUAUUGCUUAGAGUGGGAUACCCCUCCCAGAACAAGCUGGGAAAAUCUCCAGGAUGCCAGCCAGGGCACUGAGGAGAGUUUCCAGGGACUUAGGCCACUGCCACUCCCUCUCUUCCUGGAAAAGAAUGCAAAGUGCAGCUUCCAUCCCCAGAUCCAGGCCAUAUGCUCCAUUAAGCAUUGUAGGCACCUUGCCCAGUUGUUAUUUUAAUAAACCUGGUUGUGCUCCUCAAUUUCCCUUACAGGGCCCACUGGGCAGGCUAGCAUUGGUAGAACCUUGUGUUUCCCCUCUGACUGACCCAGGAGCUGUUUGAUGAAAGUUCUGCCCAUAGUAUUAGUGCUGGCUUAGGAAGCUUGGCCUUUUUGCCAUUGUAAUGGGUGUUGCAAUUCCUGGUCUCUGUGGCUCAGGCCAACAACAGCAGAGUAGAGUUGAUGUGGAUUUUGAGGGCGUUAUGUAGAGAUGACAUUUCAGGAAAGAAUAAUUGAUUUAAAGCUAUUGCCUUUCUCUUAAAGGCAGGGGGCAUGGCAGGACAGAAAGAAAGGAAUAAUAAGCAAUAUUUGCCCUAAAAUCUAUCUUCACAUUUUUAAUGUAUCAGUGUCCAAAUUUGUACUUUUUUGUGUGCUUCAUUGAAUCUGUUUCCACUGUGGUUGAGUAGAAUUUAAAUAAUUUAUAAAUGAAGAAUUUAAAUAAAU